AGAAGUAAAAGUCGUAACAAGGUUUCCGUAGGUGAACCGCGGAAGGAUCAUUAUUGAAUGAACUUGGUGUGGUUGUCGCUGGUCUUUCGGGGCAUGUGCACGCCCACCAUCCUCAUCUCUCCACCUGUGCACCUCUUGUAGACUUGGAUUGACUUUCCGAGGCAACUCGGUCGGGAGGAUUGCGGCCAGCUGGCUUUCUUUGCAUUUCCGGUCUACGUUUUUCAUAUACCCCAUGUAUGUAACAGAAUGUAAAUUGGGCCUUGUGCCUAUAAACUUUAUACAACUUUCAGCAACGGAUCUCUUGGCUCUCGCAUCGAUGAAGAACGCAGCGAAAUGCGAUAAGUAAUGUGAAUUGCAGAAUUCAGUGAAUCAUCGAAUCUUUGAACGCACCUUGCGCUCCUUGGUAUUCCGAGGAGCAUGCCUGUUUGAGUGUCAUUAAAUUCUCAACCUUUAUCAUUUUGUUGAUAAUGGCUUGGAUAUGGGGGUUAUUUUGCUGGCUUCUUUACGAUGGUCAGCUCCCCUUAAAUGCAUUAGCCGGUGCCCCGCGUGGACUGUCUAUUGGUGUGAUAAUUAUCUACGCCGUGGACAUCUGCAAUCAUAUGGGUUUGCACUGCUUCCAACGUCURUUAAUCAGACAAUACAUGAAAUUYGACCUCAAAUCGGUAAGACUACCCGCUGAACUUACAUAUCAU
RNAcentral lists this ribosomal RNA (692 nucleotides) under Hebeloma velutipes. RNAcentral's name for it is "eukaryotic LSU rRNA". The stretch from base 282 to 435 matches the Rfam family "5.8S ribosomal RNA". Lineage: Eukaryota; Fungi; Basidiomycota; Agaricomycetes; Agaricales; Hymenogastraceae. The record is from RNAcentral.